Molecule: ribosomal RNA, 468 nt
Filed under: uncultured bacterium
Lineage: Bacteria
Description: partial 16S ribosomal RNA
Rfam family: Bacterial small subunit ribosomal RNA
Source: RNAcentral
GACGAACGCUGGCGGCGUGCUUAACACAUGCAAGUCGAACGGAAAGGCCCUGCUUUUGUGGGGUGCUCGAGUGGCGAACGGGUGAGUAACACGUGAGUAACCUGCCCUUGACUUUGGGAUAACUUCAGGAAACUGGGGCUAAUACCGGAUAGGAGCUCCUGCUGCAUGGUGGGGGUUGGAAAGUUUCGGCGGUUGGGGAUGGACUCGCGGCUUAUCAGCUUGUUGGUGGGGUAGUGGCUUACCAAGGCUUUGACGGGUAGCCGGCCUGAGAGGGUGACCGGCCACAUUGGGACUGCGAUACGGCCCAGACUACUACGGGAGGCAGCAGUGGGGAAUAUUGCACAAUGGGCGGAAGCCUGAUGCAGCAACGCCGCGUGCGGGAUGACGGCCGUCGGGUUGUAAACCGCUUUCGCCUGUGACGAAGCGUGAGUGACGGUAAUGGGUAAAGAAGCACCGGCUAACUACGUG